GGACUACCCGGGUUUCUAAUCCCAUUCGCUACCCACGCUUUCGUGUUUCAGCGUCAGGAAUGUGCCAGUGAAUUGCCUUCGCAUUUGGUGUUCCCCAUGAUAUCAACGGAUUUCACCCCUACACCAUGAGUUCCAUUCACCUCUCACAUCCUCUAGUUUUGCCGUUUCUUUUGCGGACCCCCGGUUGAGCCGAAGAAUUUCACAGAAGACUAACAAAACCGCCUACACACCCUUUACGCCCAAUGAUUCCGGAUAACGCUUGGAGCACUCGUAUUACCGCGGCGGCUGGCAC
Molecule: ribosomal RNA, 292 nt
Filed under: uncultured bacterium
Lineage: Bacteria
Description: partial 16S ribosomal RNA
Source: RNAcentral